Molecule: microRNA precursor, 83 nt
Filed under: Bombyx mori (domestic silkworm)
Lineage: Eukaryota; Metazoa; Arthropoda; Insecta; Lepidoptera; Bombycidae
Description: mir-2807 microRNA precursor family
Rfam family: mir-2807 microRNA precursor family
Source: Rfam by way of RNAcentral
UAAUUUUAAAUUUUUAUGGAGUUGGAACGUUUGCCUACUUUGCAGCUAGGGGCGCCGUUUCUACUGUAUACAAAUUUGAGUUA